GGAGAGGGGUGCGUCCUAUCAGGUUGUUGGUGAGGUAAAGGCUCACCAAGCCUAUGACGGGUAGCCGGUUUGAGAUGAUGAUCGGCCGCGAUGGGACUGAGACACGGCCCAUACUCCUACGGGAGGCAGCAGUGGGGAAUAUUGCACAAUGGACGAAAGUCUGAUGCAGCGAUUCUGCGUGGAGGAUGAAGCAUUACGGUGUGUAAACUCCUUUUUUGGUAGAAGACGAAUGACGGUAUACCAAGAAUAAGGGACGGCUAACUAUGUGCCAGCAGCCGCGGUAAUACAUAGGUCCCAAGCGUUAUCCGGAUUUACUGGGCGUAAAGUGUCCGUAGCCGGACAUAUAAGUCUGUUUUCAAAUCCUAUGGCUCAACCAUAGACCGGGAAUAGAUACUGUAUGUCUGGAAGUUAUUGGGGGUUAGUGGAAUUUCAGGUGGAGCGGUGGAAUGCGUUGAUAUCUGAAAGAACGCCGAAAGCGAAAGCAGCUAACUACAAUAAACUUGACGGUAAGGGACGAAAGCUUGGGGAGCGAACGGGAUUAGAUACCCCGGUAGUCCAAGCCGUAAAUGAUGCGUGCUAGAUGUUUUGGACCCUCGUGGUCUGGAGUGUCGUAAUCUAACGAGUUAAGCAUGCCGUCUGGGUAGUAUAUUCGCAAGAAUGAAACUCAAAGGGAUAGGCGGGGGAACACACAAGCAGUGGAUUGUCUAGAUUAAUUGGAUAAUAAGCCAAGAAUCUUACCUAGAUUUGACAUGUACUAUGUCCUAUGUGAAAGCAUAGUAGUCCGAGCAAUCGGACAUGGUAUACAGGUGGUGCAUGGUCGUCGUCAGCUCGUGCCGCAAGGUGUCUAGUUAAGUCUGGAAACGAGCGCAACCCUCAUCUUUAGUUA
Molecule: ribosomal RNA, 886 nt
Filed under: uncultured organism
Description: bacterial SSU rRNA
Rfam family: Bacterial small subunit ribosomal RNA
Source: RNAcentral